Molecule: ribosomal RNA, 441 nt
Filed under: uncultured bacterium
Lineage: Bacteria
Description: partial 16S ribosomal RNA
Rfam family: Bacterial small subunit ribosomal RNA
Source: RNAcentral
CCUACGGGUGGCAGCAGUGGGGAAUAUUGCACAAUGGGGGAAACCCUGAUGCAGCAACGCCGCGUGAAGGAAGAAGGUUUUCGGAUUGUAAACUUCUGUUCUUAGUGAAGAAUAAUGACGGUAGCUAAGGAGCAAGCGACAGCUAACUCCGCGCCAGCAGCCGCGGUAAAACGUAGGGGGCAAGCGUUGUCCGGAAUUACUGGGUGUAAAGGGAGCGCAGGCGGGAAGGCAAGUCAGCUGUGAAAACUACGGGCUUAACUUGUAGACUGCAUUUGAAACUGGUUUUCUUGAGUGCAGUAGAGGUUAGCGGAAUUCCGGGUGUAGCGGUGAAAUGCGUAGAUAUUCGGAGGAACACCGGUGGCGAAGGCGGCCAACUGGGCUUUAACUGACGCUGAGGCUCGAAAGUGUGGGGAGCAAACAGGAUUAGAUACCCUAGUAGUC